GUGUGGUCAACUCCGGUUGAUCCUGCCGGACCCUACCGCUAUCGGGAUGGGAUUAAGACAUGUUAGUCGUGCGCUUCCUAGCCAUGAUGGAGGCGCGGCGCACAGCUCAGUAUCACGUGGCUAACCUAACCUUAGGACGGGGGCACCCCCGGGAAACUGGGGCUAAUUUCCGAUAGGUGAAGAUUCCUGGAAUGGAUUUUUGCCUAAAGGGCACUUGGGUCAUGCUUCCAGGUGUUGCCUAAGGAUGGGGCCGCGGCCGAUCAGGUUGUUGGUGAGGUAAUGGCCCACCAAGCCUUUUACCGGUGCGGGCCGUGGGAGCGGGAGCCCGGAGAUGGGCACUGAGACAAGGGCCCAGGCCCUACGGGGCGCAGCAGUCGCGAAAAUUUCGCAAUAAGCGAAAGCUUGACGGAGCUAUCCCGAGUGCCAUCCGCUGAGGAUGGCUUUUCUCUAGUAUAGAUAGCUGGGGGAAUAAGGAGAGGGCAAGUCUGGUGUCAGCCGCCGCGGUAAUACCAGCUCUCCGAGUGGUGGGGAUGAUUAUUGGGCCUAAAGCAUCCGUAGCC
RNAcentral lists this ribosomal RNA (560 nucleotides) under Candidatus Bathyarchaeota archaeon RBG_13_46_16b. Its description in RNAcentral is "bacterial SSU rRNA". It matches the Rfam family "Archaeal small subunit ribosomal RNA", at positions 1 to 526 of the family's 1478-position model. Lineage: Archaea; Thermoproteati; Candidatus Bathyarchaeota. The record is from RNAcentral.